AUUGAACGCUGGCGGCAGGCUUAACACAUGCAAGUCGAACGAUGAUUAUCUAGCUUGCUAGAUAUGAUUAGUGGCGGACGGGUGAGUAACAUUUAGGAAUCUGCCUAGUAGUGGGGGAUAGCUCGGGGAAACUCGAAUUAAUACCGCAUACGACCUACGGGUGAAAGGGGGCGCAAGCUCUUGCUAUUAGAUGAGCCUAAAUCAGAUUAGCUAGUUGGUGGGGUAAAGGCCCACCAAGGCGACGAUCUGUAACUGGUCUGAGAGGAUGAUCAGUCACACCGGAACUGAGACACGGUCCGGACUCCUACGGGAGGCAGCAGUGGGGAAUAUUGGACAAUGGGGGCAACCCUGAUCCAGCCAUGCCGCGUGUGUGAAGAAGGCCUUUUGGUUGUAAAGCACUUUAAGCAGGGAGGAGAGGCUAAUGGUUAAUACCCAUUAGAUUAGACGUUACCUGCAGAAUAAGCACCGGCUAACUCUGUGCCAGCAGCCGCGGUAAUACAGAGGGUGCGAGCGUUAAUCGGAAUUACUGGGCGUAAAGCGAGUGUAGGUGGCUCAUUAAGUCACAUGUGAAAUCCCCGGGCUUAACCUGGGAACUGCAUGUGAUACUGGUGGUGCUAGAAUAUGUGAGAGGGAAGUAGAAUUCCAGGUGUAGCGGUGAAAUGCGUAGAGAUCUGGAGGAAUACCGAUGGCGAAGGCAGCUUCCUGGCAUAAUAUUGACACUGAGAUUCGAAAGCGUGGGUAGCAAACAGGAUUAGAUACCCUGGUAGUCCACGCCGUAAACGAUGUCUACUAGCCGUUGGGGUCCUUGAGACUUUAGUGGCGCAGUUAACGCGAUAAGUAGACCGCCUGGGGAGUACGGCCGCAAGGUUAAAACUCAAAUGAAUUGACGGGGGCCCGCACAAGCGGUGGAGCAUGUGGUUUAAUUCGAUGCAACGCGAAGAACCUUACCUGGUCUUGACAUAGUGAGAAUCCUGCAGAGAUGCGGGAGUGCCUUCGGGAAUUCACAUACAGGUGCUGCAUGGCUGUCGUCAGCUCGUGUCGUGAGAUGUUGGGUUAAGUCCCGCAACGAGCGCAACCCUUUUCCUUAUUUGCCAGCGGGUUAAGCCGGGAACUUUAAGGAUACUGCCAGUGGCAAACUGGAGGAAGGCGGGGACGACGUCAAGUCAUCAUGGCCCUUACGACCAGGGCUACACACGUGCUACAAUGGUAGGUACAGAGGGUUGCUACACAGCGAUGUGAUGCUAAUCUCAAAAAGCCUAUCGUAGUCCGGAUUGGAGUCUGCAACUCGACUCCAUGAAGUCGGAAUCGCUAGUAAUCGCAGAUCAGAAUGCUGCGGUGAAUACGUUCCCGGGCCU
RNAcentral lists this ribosomal RNA (1355 nucleotides) under uncultured bacterium. RNAcentral's name for it is "bacterial SSU rRNA". It matches the Rfam family "Bacterial small subunit ribosomal RNA", at positions 28 to 1381 of the family's 1533-position model. The record is from RNAcentral.